Molecule: ribosomal RNA, 253 nt
Filed under: uncultured bacterium
Lineage: Bacteria
Description: partial 16S ribosomal RNA
Rfam family: Bacterial small subunit ribosomal RNA
Source: RNAcentral
UACGAGGGGGGCAAGUGUUGUUCGGAAUCACUGGGCGUAAAGGGAGCGUAGGCGGAUGUUUAAGUCGGGAGUUUAAAACCGGGGCCCAACCCCGGGGCGGCUCCCGAAACUGGGCAUCUUGAAUAGGUCAGAGGCUGGUGGAAUUGGAGGUGUAGCGGUGGAAUGCGUAGAGAUCUCCAAGAACACCUAUUGCGAAGGCAGCCAGCUGGGACCAUAUUGACGCUGAGGCUCGAAAGCAUGGGGAGCAAACAGG